UACAUUAUAUAUAUUAAUUAUAUACAUAUUAUAUCAUUUAAUCCUCACAGCAACCUUAUAUGGUGGGCAUUCUCUGAUCCAGAUUUUACAGAUGAAGAGGCUGAGGUACAGAAAAGUGACACACACCCAUGGUGAUACAGACUCACAGUUACUUGUCGCAGAUCAUACAGCUACUAAAUCUGCAAUCUGCAAGAUGAUCUCCUGGAGAGAGACUAAAACAAGUUUUAGUUCAAACUUAUCUGUCUCUGUAAGGAGAACUCAAAAUAUUUGGUGAACAGCUCUAAUGAUGACCACACCCCUAGGGUACACAAUUCCUGCAGAGAUGACAAGGUACA
Molecule: long non-coding RNA, 335 nt
Filed under: Rhinopithecus bieti (black snub-nosed monkey)
Lineage: Eukaryota; Metazoa; Chordata; Mammalia; Primates; Cercopithecidae
Description: lncRNA (ENSRBIG00000045166.1)
Source: RNAcentral